Molecule: ribosomal RNA, 260 nt
Filed under: uncultured bacterium
Lineage: Bacteria
Description: partial 16S ribosomal RNA
Rfam family: Bacterial small subunit ribosomal RNA
Source: RNAcentral
AGCGGCGGACGGGUGAGUAACGCGUGGGUAACCUGCCUCAUACAGGGGGAUAACAGUUAGAAAUGACUGCUAAUACCGCAUAAGACCACAGUACUGCAUGGUACAGUGGUAAAAACUCCGGUCGUAUGAGAUGGACCCGCGUCUGAUUAGCUGGUUGGUGGGGUAACGGCCCACCAAGGCGACGAUCAGUAGCCGGCCUGAGAGGGUGAACGGCCACAUUGGGACUGAGACACGGCCCAAACUCCUACGGAAGGCAGCAG